MicroRNA precursor from Sorghum bicolor (sorghum), 101 nucleotides. Lineage: Eukaryota; Viridiplantae; Streptophyta; Magnoliopsida; Poales; Poaceae. The record is from Rfam.
GAGAGAGGGAGGUAUUGGCGCGCCUCAAUCCGAAGGCGUGGCUGAUUUGGCAUGGCAGCCAUGUUCUUGGAUUGAGCCGCGUCAAUAUCUCCGCUUGCUUG